AGAGUUUGAUCCUGGCUCAGAACGAACGUUAGCGGCGCGCCUAACACAUGCAAGUCGAACGCGACUGGGGGCAACUCCAGUUGAGUGGCGCACGGGUGAGUAACACGUAGGUAAUCUCCCCCCGAGUGGUGGAUAACCUUCCGAAAGGAGGGCUAAUACAGCAUAAGACCACGGUCUCGAAAGAGACUGAGGUCAAAGCG
RNAcentral lists this ribosomal RNA (200 nucleotides) under uncultured bacterium. RNAcentral's name for it is "partial 16S ribosomal RNA". It matches the Rfam family "Bacterial small subunit ribosomal RNA", at positions 8 to 208 of the family's 1533-position model. The record is from RNAcentral.